UUGAAGUGACCAAUUCAUUCUACACAAAGCCAGAUGAUUUUGUGGCUGAUUUCAGACUGAUUUUCCAAAACUGUGCUGAAUUUAAUGAGCCUGACUCAGAAGUGGCUGAUGCCGGCAUGAAACUCGAAGCCUACUUUGAAGAUCUUCUAAGGAACCUUUAUCCUGAGAGAAAGUUCCCUGUACAGCCAAGCAGCCAGAGUGAAAAAGAGAAUCCAGAACUUACUGAUGACUCAGAUGAUGACUUUGUACAGCCCCGGAAAAAACGCCUCAAAGGAGAAGACCGUCAGUUGCUUAAAUGAGCCCCAUGUGUUACGACAGGAAGUUUUUUUAAAACUGAGAAUAUUUAUCACUGUUCUCACUGUUUUGACUUGUAGGUUUGUGAAUAUUUACUAGACUUUCUACCCCAUCUGAAACACAAAUCUAAUGGAGAUCAAGGCAUGUGAAGAGCUUCUCUGAAGUUCAAACCUUUCAUCUCUUUUCUGGAGCAGCUCAGAAAUUGCCAUUUGUGUGGGGUGACAACUGUUUAACUUUGCUUUGAAGAAGAAGUUUGUAUAGAAUUGAACCUCAAAACAUGACAUGGGUUCAACAUGUGGCUGAGGUUGAAGAAAAUGUGAUCUCACCAGAUUUUUAAUUUUACCAAAGGCAUGUGGCUGGCCAUAAUUUGAUCUCUCUGUACUGUAUUCAACACAAACCAUGAAAAAAGAUGGUAUAAUGUUACUGUCCUGCAAUACUGAUUGGUAUAAUGAAAGUGUAGUUGCUCCCAAAGAAGUUAUUGGGAAUUUUAAAAUGUAAGGCAGAGGGUAUUAAAAAUAACUUUAAAAAAAAGGAAGAAGAGGAAUUUGUUUGAGAGUUUCUAAUGGAGUAAGUGAAGGACAGAAUACUUUGGUUUGCACCAUUUUUCUUACCACCAGCAGGAAACAAUGGUAUUUCUGUACUAUUUUGUUUAACAGGUGUCUCAAGUGUGAUGAUCGGAAAAUCUUGAGUGGAAAAAUGUUUGUUUGCAAAACCAGUCAUUUUUGUGUAUUUUUAAAGAGGGGAGAAAAAGCAUCCUUUCUGUCCACAAUCCCUUGUUCUUUUUCCGUAUUUCUAAAUCUGUCAUUGUCAGAAUGCAACCAGCAUUCACCUGGGAGUACACAAGUUUGAAGAGAAAGAAGGCUCUUCAGCCCUUCAUUGAUCCUGGUUAAGAUCACCACAAAAUGAGGAUGAAGUACCUUAUUUUGUUUGGUCUACUUUCCAGAAGCUCUGACAACAACAUUAGGAUUGCUUCUGCCCUCAGAGGCUGCAGAGUUAGAGCAGUACUUGUCUGUGGUUGCCCUAGCUAUUGUUUUUUAGUCUUCAUUUAUGUCAUCUUAAAUGAAAACUCAGUGUUUGGGAGAGCAGACAGCCAUUUGGAUUAAUUGAGCUCUGACUGUGCCAGAAUUCUGCAGUUUGACUUGUGAAGACACUUGAGCGUACCCAAGCCUGCUUCUGCCUGGCUCUGUAGCCCUGGUGUGGUGCAUAGAGCAUGGAAGAGACUGGAUCCAAGUGCUGCUUGUGCCUCUCUGCUGCGUGCGUGUGGAAUGAGAAAAAGGCCUGGCUUUGCCUCUCACCCGAUGAGAUCGUGCCUGUCUUUGUCGUAGGGUGGCACUGCACACUAAAACAGAGUGGCCACUCCACAGGGGCCACAGGCCACCGGCGAACAGCCGCAGCACGCCAGCCCGGCGCCCCCGAGCUGCAACGUACUUGCUGGGAGCCUCGAAAUCCUCCUGCCUGCCAAAAGCCUGGCCCCAGCACGGUCUGCAGCCAAACCUCGGCGCUGAACAUCACCUCGCACACCUGCCGGGGUGCGUUGGUUCAGCGCAACCUGGUUUUAUUCGUGGGGGCGGGGGAAGCCACGCGGCGGCUUCUGAGAGAAGCUGCUCGAAGCCUCUGCUAUGUCCAGCAGGGCCAAUCUCUGACAGCUCUGAAGAUAGACGUGCUGCUGGCCCAAUUAGAGAAGUUGGUAGUGCCUCUGUGAUGACUUAUUUAAGGCAGGGAAAAAAACUGCGCUCAGUUCUUCCGAGGCGCGGGGAGGUGCUGCGGCCGGGGUUAUCCCGGCGCCGCAAGAGGCCCUGUGGGCAGCGCGGCCCAUGUAGCCGCCACCGUCUUAGCAUGGCUUAGUGGCUUUUAGCCAGCUGUACUGCGAGCAGAAGGGCAGAGGCAGGGGCUUGUUCUUUGCAGCAUUCUGCAUAAAGAGAGGUGCUGAAUGGUGCCAGGGCUGCGGCAGCUGACACCGCCUGCUGCAUGGUGGCGGCGGGGCUGGUGGCGCAAGCAUGGCGAGCAAUUCCCCGACACGGAAUCCAGACAAGAGCACAUUCUCAGCGCUGCAAACUCCUACAAGUCUUUGAACUGGUGGAACUUGGUGACAAUGCUACUUACGAGCAGGAAUUUUUUCUUCCAAGUCAGAGAAAAGGAAAGGUGGAGACACGUGAGGAGAACCGAGAUGGUGGCACUGAAGUCAGUAAAGAAAGAGGGAGAGGAAGUGCUGCAAGCGCCGGAGCCGAAAUUUUCUUCGGCGAGCUGUCGUAAAAGACUAUGGCUGCCUUUGGCCAUUCCCUUCAGACGCAUUGUACAGGGUUGGGAGAGGCCAGGAAGAAUGAGGCUUGAACAGUGAGCAGGCUUGUGUCCACGGAGUUGUUUUAUACUUCUUCUCUGUGUAACGAAAGUGUCUUGGGGUGACUUUAUGAUGUGUAUCCCCUAUCACUGCUCUAUGCCCACAAAUU
Corvus hawaiiensis (hawaiian crow) is the source of this 2741-nucleotide long non-coding RNA. RefSeq lists it as uncharacterized. NCBI's taxonomy places the organism in Eukaryota, Metazoa, Chordata, Aves, Passeriformes, Corvidae. The transcript is spliced from 3 exons. The record is from RefSeq and is a predicted model, not a curated record.